UUCCGGUUGAUCCUGCCGGACCCGACUGCUAUCAGAGUAGGACUAAGCCAUGCGAGUCGACGUAGCAAUGCGUGGCGAACGGCUCAGUAACACGUAGUCAACAUGCCCAGGGGACGUGGAUAACCUCGGGAAACUGAGAAUAAACCACGAUAGGUCAUGAUUUCUGGAAUGGAUCAUGGCUCAAAUCUACAUGGCCCCUGGAUUGGACUGCGGCCGAUCAGGCAGUUGGUGAGGUAAAGGCCCACCAAACCUAUAACCGGUACGGGCUCUGAGAGGAGAAGCCCGGAGAUGGGCACUGAGACAAGGGCCCAGGCCCUAUGGGGCGCAGCAGGCGCGAAACCUCUGCAAUAGGCGAAAGCCUGACAGGGUUACUCUGAGUGAUUUCCGCUAAGGGGAUCUUUUGGCACCUCUAAAAAUGGUGCAGAAUAAGGGGUGGGCAAGUCUGGUGUCAGCCGCCGCGGUAAUACCAGCACCCCGAGUGGUCGGGACGAUUAUUGGGCCUAAAGCAUCCGUUGCCGGUUCUGCAAGUCUUCCGUUAAAUCCAGCCGCUCAACGGAUGGGCCGCGGAGGAUACUACAGGACUAGGAGGCGGGAGAGGCAAGCGGUACUCAGUGGGUAGGGGUAAAAUCCUUUGAUCCAUUGAAGACCACCAGUGGCGAAGGCGGCUUGCCAGAACGCGCUCGACGGUGAGGGAUGAAAGCUGGGGGAGCAAACCGGAUUAGAUACCCGGGUAGUCCCAG
Molecule: ribosomal RNA, 740 nt
Filed under: uncultured archaeon
Lineage: Archaea
Description: bacterial SSU rRNA
Rfam family: Archaeal small subunit ribosomal RNA
Source: RNAcentral